Long non-coding RNA from Apus apus (common swift), 2244 nucleotides. RefSeq lists it as uncharacterized. The record is from RefSeq and is a predicted model, not a curated record. The transcript has 2 exons. Lineage: Eukaryota; Metazoa; Chordata; Aves; Apodiformes; Apodidae.
UCCAGCUCCAUGGAGUCCCCCUGGAUCAGAAAAAGAACAGCAAACAAAGGCUCAUUUCAGAACACAAACCUUUUUACAUCUCAUUAACAAUCAGCAAAAGCUACACCUCUAAAUGAAGAUAUUUCUCCUGGCUACCACUUUCUUGUAAUGCGACCGACAACAGAAGAAGGUGCACAACUAGAUGACCUAAGUUUUUGUUUUCACACAGCUAAUCAGCCUGAAGCAGCUUGUCAAACUUGACAUAUUUAUGGAACGUGCUGCUCAUCACAGAAACGGUGGGUGUCUAAGGUCAGUGAGCACAAGCAGCUGCUGUGCACGAGGUUACUCUACUCAGUGUUCCAUCUUCCAGCCAAGACUGAACUUGCAGCAAGGUAUGCUAUUUAUACAAAUUAAAGCUUAGCAGGACAAAGGGGCUAAUAGCAUCGUACACAUAGAAAAUACCAUAUAAUCUUUAAUGACUAGGCACGUCCAAGACUUCUAUUAAACAUAUCUCACUUAAUAGCAGUAAAUGUGUAUUUUAAGUACUGCUUAAGGAGCAUCAUCCAAGAAGGCCUGCUAGAUUAAGAGUACUGCAAUUUAUAAAGCAGUUUAUAGAGAUGAGCAAUGCUUUCUGAAUGACUCGAGAAAAAGAAAACUGGACAUCCAACAUGGCUGAAAGUUCCCAGGCUACACUCAUAUUGCAUCUCCUAACGCUGUGUUCACCUUUAGGAUCAGUCCUGGUAACAGUCCAGUUGGGCCUAGAAUUACAGCAAACAUUCUAUUUACAAAAAAGCUUCGGCACCCUCAGGUUAGCUGCCACCAUCUGGCCUGAAGAGGAAGGAAAUUCUUAAAACUUUGUUCCACCAAACUCAUUCAACUUCUCAGGUCCUGCAGGUUACAAUGCCAGCACAGUUUCAUGUUAAGUGACAGUAUCCGUCCCGGCAGACACUUAGCUCAUGGAAGAUGCUGACUAAUUUUAUGCUGAAUAACAACUAGAAGGAAAUAACCUUUCAUCUAGGUUAGAAAACCACAGAUGACUGAUCCCCCUCAACCAAGUAAUCCCUUAAGUAAACAGAUACCUCACUGCUUCAGCCUUACACAUAGGCUGCUCACAGGUAAAAACAGGCAUCCUAGCCACAUUUUUCUGCUUUGUGUCUCUCUCUUCCUGCAAAAUCCAUUUUCAUAUUAUUGCCUUUAUUUAUAAGCCUUUGUUUCCACUUUCUGCUAACAGAAAUGUCAGACAGAUAUUCAAAGGAGAACUGCCACACGUGGCUCUUUUGACUAAAGCCUUAUUCUUUCUCACAAAGUUAUGAGGCAGAGAAGAAUACCAGGCUUAUCCAACAGUUUAAGUGACCCCCUGUCCAGUCAGUGUCGCCACUGCAAUGCAUGAACAUACUAAUGUCCACAGCCAAUUAGCAUCCAUGAGCCCUAAGUUAGGGCGGUAACUAUUAGGGGCAAUUCAUAACUUGUUGUCCAUCCUUACUGCCUUGUAUCACAUCUUUUGUUUUCCUUUCAUUUGUCCUUGAGCAGCAGUCCUGUUUUUGGUCCAUUAGCUGGGUAUCAUCAGCAGAAGGCCUUUGCUGGCUUAAAAGGCAUUUUGUUUAGACUUAUGCGGGGAAGAAGAACUGUUUCCCACAAACAUCUAAGCACUGUGACCUAUACACUUGAAGGAGAAGGACACGUCAACAUAAGCUGGUGGCUCCCUAUUUGCAUGAUGCAAUGAACUGCAAGAGCCCUCCCCUUCAUGCCUUGGUACAGCCCCGGGAAACCACAGCUGCUGCCUGCCCACUCCUGCAACCCGGGCACACAACAGGUGCUCACUAACACCUGUGAGCACAGCACAUUUCAUACGCGGGGAAUUUAUCACGUAUGUCUGUUUGACACAAAUGGGAAAGGAGCAGGAGCACCUGACAUGUACCAGGCACUAUUACUGCUGCUGGGGAAAGCAUACACAGGCUGCUUCCAUCACCUCCCCUCCUCUGGGACUUCGCUCUGAGCCGUGACUGCUACAACUUAAAGUCAUCAUGCUUUCCUUUCAAACAGAUAUUUACCAAUGCAAAAGAAUUACUCGUGGUCUCUAUCCCAGAGUGAAAUUAAAGAGAGCAGAGGGAAGAAAUAAGAAGGGCUGUGGCUGUAAGGAAAGGGCUGUGGACAGCUCUAAUUCUAGCUCUAUAUUCCUAGCUAUCUGACCAUGCCCCUUGGACCAGGCUCCCUCUCCCUACCACUCUUCCAGAACUUCUUUGUCAAUAAAGGACCCAAAUCCAA